This 935-nucleotide ribosomal RNA is filed under the name uncultured bacterium. RNAcentral describes it as "bacterial SSU rRNA". It matches the Rfam family "Bacterial small subunit ribosomal RNA", at positions 571 to 1504 of the family's 1533-position model. The record is from RNAcentral.
GCAGGCGGUUUUCUAAGUCUGAUGUGAAAGCCUUUCGGCUUAACCGGAGAAGUGCAUCGGAAACUGGAUAACUUGAGUGCAGAAGAGGGUAGUGGAACUCCAUGUGUAGCGGUGGAAUGCGUAGAUAUAUGGAAGAACACCAGUGGCGAAGGCGGCUACCUGGUCUGCAACUGACGCUGAGACUCGAAAGCAUGGGUAGCGAACAGGAUUAGAUACCCUGGUAGUCCAUGCCGUAAACGAUGAGUGCUAGGUGUUGGAGGGUUUCCGCCCUUCAGUGCCGGAGCUAACGCAUUAAGCACUCCGCCUGGGGAGUACGACCGCAAGGUUGAAACUCAAAGGAAUUGACGGGGGCCCGCACAAGCGGUGGAGCAUGUGGUUUAAUUCGAAGCUACGCGAAGAACCUUACCAGGUCUUGACAUCUUGCGCCAACCCUAGAGAUAGGGCGUUUCCUUCGGGAACGCAAUGACAGGUGGUGCAUGGUCGUCGUCAGCUCGUGUCGUGAGAUGUUGGGUUAAGUCCCGCAACGAGCGCAACCCUUGUUACUAGUUGCCAGCAUUAAGUUGGGCACUCUAGUGAGACUGCCGGUGACAAACCGGAGGAAGGUGGGGACGACGUCAGAUCAUCAUGCCCCUUAUGACCUGGGCUACACACGUGCUACAAUGGACGGUACAACGAGUCGCGAACUCGCAAGGGCAAGCAAAUCUCUUAAAACCGUUCUCAGUUCGGACCGCAGGCUGCAACUCGCCUGCACGAAGUCGGAAUCGCUAGUAAUCGCGGAUCAGCAUGCCGCGGUGAAUACGUUCCCGGGCCUUGUACACACCGCCCGUCACACCAUGAGAGUUUGUAACACCCAAAGUCGGUGGGGUAACCUUUUAGGAGCCAGCCGCCUAAGGUGGGACAGAUGAUUAGGGUGAAGUCGUAACAAGGUAACCGUA